GCGGGGGUAGCAGAGCCAGGCCAAAUGCGCGGGACGCUACCGAAAGCGCGUGAAACUCAAGACCCAAAAAAAGAUCAGGCGGGAGUUAUCCCGUGGGGUAGCCCUACGUGGGUUCGAAUCCCACCCCCCGCACCA
Molecule: transfer RNA, 135 nt
Filed under: Candidatus Bathyarchaeota archaeon
Lineage: Archaea; Thermoproteati; Candidatus Bathyarchaeota
Description: tRNA-OTHER
Rfam family: tRNA
About the family: Transfer RNA (tRNA) molecules are approximately 80 nucleotides in length. Their secondary structure includes four short double-helical elements and three loops (D, anti-codon, and T loops). Further hydrogen bonds mediate the characteristic L-shaped molecular structure. tRNAs have two regions of fundamental functional importance: the anti-codon, which is responsible for specific mRNA codon recognition, and the 3' end, to which the tRNAs corresponding amino acid is attached (by aminoacyl-tRNA synthetases). tRNAs cope with the degeneracy of the genetic code in two manners: having more than one tRNA (with a specific anti-codon) for a particular amino acid; and 'wobble' base-pairing, i.e. permitting non-standard base-pairing at the 3rd anti-codon position.
Source: RNAcentral